This 1217-nucleotide ribosomal RNA is filed under the name Bacillus subtilis. RNAcentral's name for it is "bacterial SSU rRNA". It matches the Rfam family "Bacterial small subunit ribosomal RNA", at positions 49 to 1254 of the family's 1533-position model. The record is from RNAcentral. Lineage: Bacteria; Bacillati; Bacillota; Bacilli; Caryophanales; Bacillaceae.
CUAUACAUGCAGUCGAGCGGACAGAUGGGAGCUUGCUCCCUGAUGUUAGCGGCGGACGGGUGAGUAACACGUGGGUAACCUGCCUGUAAGACUGGGAUAACUCCGGGAAACCGGGGCUAAUACCGGAUGGUUGUCUGAACCGCAUGGUUCAGACAUAAAAGGUGGCUUCGGCUACCACUUACAGAUGGACCCGCGGCGCAUUAGCUAGUUGGUGAGGUAACGGCUCACCAAGGCGACGAUGCGUAGCCGACCUGAGAGGGUGAUCGGCCACACUGGGACUGAGACACGGCCCAGACUCCUACGGGAGGCAGCAGUAGGGAAUCUUCCGCAAUGGACGAAAGUCUGACGGAGCAACGCCGCGUGAGUGAUGAAGGUUUUCGGAUCGUAAAGCUCUGUUGUUAGGGAAGAACAAGUGCCGUUCAAAUAGGGCGGCACCUUGACGGUACCUAACCAGAAAGCCACGGCUAACUACGUGCCAGCAGCCGCGGUAAUACGUAGGUGGCAAGCGUUGUCCGGAAUUAUUGGGCGUAAAGGGCUCGCAGGCGGUUUCUUAAGUCUGAUGUGAAAGCCCCCGGCUCAACCGGGGAGGGUCAUUGGAAACUGGGGAACUUGAGUGCAGAAGAGGAGAGUGGAAUUCCACGUGUAGCGGUGAAAUGCGUAGAGAUGUGGAGGAACACCAGUGGCGAAGGCGACUCUCUGGUCUGUAACUGACGCUGAGGAGCGAAAGCGUGGGGAGCGAACAGGAUUAGAUACCCUGGUAGUCCACGCCGUAAACGAUGAGUGCUAAGUGUUAGGGGGUUUCCGCCCCUUAGUGCUGCAGCUAACGCAUUAAGCACUCCGCCUGGGGAGUACGGUCGCAAGACUGAAACUCAAAGGAAUUGACGGGGGCCCGCACAAGCGGUGGAGCAUGUGGUUUAAUUCGAAGCAACGCGAAGAACCUUACCAGGUCUUGACAUCCUCUGACAAUCCUAGAGAUAGGACGUCCCCUUCGGGGGCAGAGUGACAGGUGGUGCAUGGUUGUCGUCAGCUCGUGUCGUGAGAUGUUGGGUUAAGUCCCGCAACGAGCGCAACCNUUGAUCUUAGUUGCCAGCAUUCAGUUGGGCACUCUAAGGUGACUGCCGGUGACAACCGGAGGAAGGUGGGGAUGACGUCAAUCAUCAUGCCCCUUAUGACUUGGGCUACCACGUGCUNAAUGGACAGNACAAAGGCAANGAAAC